UCUUCCGCAAUGGACGAAAGUCUGACGGAGCAACGCCGCGUGAGUGAUGAAGGCUUUCGGGUCGUAAAACUCUGUUGUUAGGGAAGAACAGGUGCUAGUUGAAUAAGCUGGCACCUUGACGGUACCUAACCAGAAAGCAACGGCUAACUACGUGCCAGCAACCGCGGUAAUACGUAGGUGGCAAGCGUUAUCCGGAAUUAUUGGGCGUAAAGCGGGCGCAGGUGGUUUCUUAAGUCUGAUGUGAAAGCACACGGCUCAACCGCGGAAGGUCAUUGGAAACUGGGAGGCUUGAGUGCAGAAGAGGAAAGUGGAAUUCCAUGUGUAGCGGUGAAAUGCGUAGAGAUAUGGAGGAACACCAGUGGCGAAGGCGACUUUCUGGUCUGUAACUGACACUGAGGCGCGAAAGCGUGGGGAGCAAACAGG
Molecule: ribosomal RNA, 423 nt
Filed under: uncultured bacterium
Lineage: Bacteria
Description: bacterial SSU rRNA
Rfam family: Bacterial small subunit ribosomal RNA
Source: RNAcentral